Molecule: long non-coding RNA, 617 nt
Organism: Solanum tuberosum (potato)
Lineage: Eukaryota; Viridiplantae; Streptophyta; Magnoliopsida; Solanales; Solanaceae
Exons: 3
Source: RefSeq, a predicted model, not a curated record
UGUUUUCCCUCUUUUGUAUGUUUGAUUUCUACCAAAUAUAACGCACAAAAAAAUAAAUUUUUCUUCUUUCUUUUUUUCACAUAUAAGUUUUAGGUUUUCUCAAAUUCUUACAACCUUUGACAGCCCUUGAAGAAAAGCAAGAACAAAAACAAAAAUGACAACAUCAAAAAGAGUUGCAGAGAGGAAAGUGGCUAAGUUUGAGAAGAACAUAACAAGAAGAGGAUUGAAUCCUCUAACAGGAAAGAACAAAAUGGAACCAGCACACAUUGUUCUUGCACUCUUUGCUGUUUUGGUGGUUGGAUCUUUUGUUUUCCAGGUUGUGAAGAUGGCUAUUAAUGGUGGGAACAAUGUAGAUGGAAGCUUUUAAUAUCUCCAUAAGAAUGCAACAUUAAGAAAUAUUUUUACAAUUAAUAGUUAAGAGUUGAACAUUUUCAAACUCUAAAUAAGUUUGUUACAACAUUCUCUCUUGCUUGAUGUAUUAUGGUUUUAAUACUUGUGAUGAUAGAUCAUAUGUGGAAACAACAUGAUCUUAUAAUAGUCAGUAUAUUUAAAAUUACAACGAUUCAUAUCAUCGAAUGAAUCCUUUCCAAUUUGGGAGUGUACUUGUGUGGUAUCAC